ACAAGCGCGUGGAGCAUGUGGCUUAAUUUGACUCAACACGGGAAAUCUUACCGGGUCCGGACAUACCGAGGAUUGACAGACUGUUAACUGCAACACAAGCUGCUAAGUUUUAAACUUAAUAGCUCUUUCAUGAUUAUAUGAUAGGUGGUGCAUGGCCGUUCUUAGUUCGUGGAGUGAUCUGUCUGCUUAAUUGCGUUUCAAAAUUUAAACCUGAGCGACAAGGUGCUGCUAUCGAAACUGUCUUUGAGUGUGAACUAUAAGUCUUUUGACUUAUGACCAUCACUCUAGACGUUUAUGUUUUGGUGUUGGCCCUUGAUGCUCAUUUGAACGCAACGGACGUGAUUGCAACCCCUUGUUGAGAUUUAUCCGAUCUCUACGUUCACUGAACCACACUCUUUAGCGAGAGCAGUGGGGAUGUGGAUAAACUCGGGGGACUGCUGACUAUAAACUUUUCUCAAACCAGAGGAA
This 468-nucleotide ribosomal RNA is filed under the name Globigerinoides ruber. Its description in RNAcentral is "SSU rRNA". It matches the Rfam family "Eukaryotic small subunit ribosomal RNA", at positions 1174 to 1442 of the family's 1831-position model. Lineage: Eukaryota; Foraminifera; Rotaliida; Globigerinidae. The record is from RNAcentral.